This is a long non-coding RNA of Tachysurus fulvidraco (yellow catfish), 709 nucleotides long. RefSeq lists it as uncharacterized. The transcript has 3 exons. The record is from RefSeq and is a predicted model, not a curated record. Lineage: Eukaryota; Metazoa; Chordata; Actinopteri; Siluriformes; Bagridae.
AGUUACCAAUAACUUGCUUUUGUCGCAAUUUCACAAGACAGUGAGUCAGUUCUGAUACCAGUCAGUUUUUCAGACAACGGCUACUCUACAUCAAACGAAGCAGUGAACAUCUCCGCUUAAUUAGGCUCUUCUUUGCUGAGUUUAGGGAUGUUGACCUUCUGCUUGCUCUCUACAACUGCUUUUGACAGCAGCUCAAACACAUUGUUGAGACAAAAUCUCCACCUCAAUGUCUGUGUUGUAAAAUUGACGGCCCACUUGAGACAGUUGCCCUACAGAUAUGCAUGGCAGAAAUUCAGUCUAAUAGCACAAACAAUGUAGUACAAAAAAAAAAUCUUAUAUAUUUUGCUAGUCAGUCACUAAAUGUGAACGGAAAAAUAAAAAUGUAUUUAUUUCACUGUGCUCAGAAGCAUGUUUGGGAAUUAAGUGUGACAAGCUCUAACAUGUUCCAGAUGUAAAAAGGAAGUGCUGAGGCUAUUUGAAUUUUUAAGGUCAAUAAUUGGUUGAUACACUGGCAGAAUGGUUAUCAAUCUCCACUUUACUCAUUUUCACAUGAUUUCACAAACAUAUUUAAUAUACAGAGAUAAUGCAUUGUCAAACCCAGUCUGUGCUUGGGUGUAUGAUUACCUUUGACAAACUGAGUAAAACCCUUUCUGGUAGAGCGAUAAUGUAGUGUCAGGCUCGUCUCACACUCUUCUUCCACACAAAAGCU